UAGGAAAAUGGCUGAAGCGGGGCCAGUCUGAGGUUGGAUUUUGUUUCCUGGAAAUUCCAGAAUUUUGCCCUUAUUGCUGAAUUUGAGCCUUGAGGUGAAUCAAAAAAGGGAGUGUCUCCUAAAAUGCCUUAUGGUGUACCUUGGGGAAGAUGUUGACCAUCUAAUCAAGGAGUAUCUGGUAAGUAGUUUUGCAUGAAUCA
Molecule: long non-coding RNA, 200 nt
Organism: Sinocyclocheilus grahami
Lineage: Eukaryota; Metazoa; Chordata; Actinopteri; Cypriniformes; Cyprinidae
Exons: 3
Source: RefSeq, a predicted model, not a curated record